This 77-nucleotide transfer RNA is filed under the name Mycoplasmataceae bacterium. RNAcentral's name for it is "tRNA-Arg". It matches the Rfam family "tRNA". From Rfam's summary of the family: Transfer RNA (tRNA) molecules are approximately 80 nucleotides in length. Their secondary structure includes four short double-helical elements and three loops (D, anti-codon, and T loops). Further hydrogen bonds mediate the characteristic L-shaped molecular structure. tRNAs have two regions of fundamental functional importance: the anti-codon, which is responsible for specific mRNA codon recognition, and the 3' end, to which the tRNAs corresponding amino acid is attached (by aminoacyl-tRNA synthetases). tRNAs cope with the degeneracy of the genetic code in two manners: having more than one tRNA (with a specific anti-codon) for a particular amino acid; and 'wobble' base-pairing, i.e. permitting non-standard base-pairing at the 3rd anti-codon position. Lineage: Bacteria; Bacillati; Mycoplasmatota; Mollicutes; Mycoplasmatales; Mycoplasmataceae. The record is from RNAcentral.
GCGCUAGUAGCUCAACUGGAUAGAGUACUUGGCUACGAACCAAGAGGUUAUGGGUUCGACUCCUGUCUAGCGCGCCA